CAGUAGCGUAUAUUAAAGUUGUUGCAGUUAAAAGCUCGUAGUUGGAUUUCUGGUGGAUCAAGAUGGCCCGGUGCCUCAAUGGCUGCUGAGUGCCGUUUUUUGGUUUACCAUCCUUCCAGAGAGUUGUGCCUACCGCUAGUCGGCCGGGCGCUGCGAUCUGGAUCAUUUACUUUGAAAAAUUAGAGUGUUUCAAGCAGGCUUACGCUUUGAAUACAUUAGCAUGGAAUAAUAAUAUAGGACUUUGGUUCUAUUUUGUUGGUUUCUAGGACUGAAGUAAUGAUUGAUAGGGAUAGUUGGGGGUGCUAGUAUUCAGCGGCCAGAGGUGAAAUUCUUGGAUUCGCUGAAGACUAACUACUGCGAAAGCAUUCACCAAGGAUGUCUUC
This 383-nucleotide ribosomal RNA is filed under the name uncultured eukaryote. Its description in RNAcentral is "SSU rRNA". It matches the Rfam family "Eukaryotic small subunit ribosomal RNA", at positions 592 to 971 of the family's 1831-position model. The record is from RNAcentral.